UACGUAGGGGGCAAGCGUUGUCCGGAUUUAUUGGGCGUAAAGAGCGUGUAGGCGGCCAGGUAGGUCUGCUGUGAAAACUCGAGGCUUAACCUCGAGCUGUCGGCGGAAACCAGUCGUGCUAGAGUCCGGAAGAGGAGAAUGGAAUUCCCGGUGUAGCGGUGAAAUGCGCAGAUAUCGGGAAGAACACCCGUGGCGAAGGCGGUUCUCUGGGACGGUACUGACGCUGAGGCGCGAAAGCGUGGGGAGCGAACAGG
This 254-nucleotide ribosomal RNA is filed under the name uncultured bacterium. Its description in RNAcentral is "partial 16S ribosomal RNA". It matches the Rfam family "Bacterial small subunit ribosomal RNA", at positions 524 to 776 of the family's 1533-position model. The record is from RNAcentral.